CACCAACCUCCUUGCUGGCUUAUGAUGAAAAGGGCUCAGUAGACUGUAACCCUGGCCCUAGAGAGAGAGAAGGCCUACGUGGAGGGUCGCAGUGAGCCCCUGAGGCUAGCAUAAACCGCCUGGAAGCGCGGAACCCACAGGGACAAGGUCGGAGCUCUGCCACACAGUGUACACUUUGAAACAACUCCCAUUGUGUUUGUCAAUGAUCCUGAGUAGUAAUCAUAAAUGUACAGCAAAUAGUACAAAAUUAGUAGGCGCCUUGUCAGUGUUACAUUCAGAAUGUGCACCAAGCAGUUCAUAAGACCCCCAAACUGCAGGGCCAGGUAGAACCCAGUACAACACGUUACGGUGACCCACUCUUAGAGCUCUUUCAAAGCCUCCUUGAGCCAUAUAAAUUCACAGCUUUUUGAGCUUUUUUGGUAGCCCUUGUAUCUAUCUAGACAGCCACUCCACCGCGACCCUGGAGGCAACUUUUCCUCCUUUGCCUCACAGAUAUUACGCAGGACCCAGCAGGCAGCUAUAACCACUAGAAUAUUUUUCUCACUGAACUCCAGUCUUGUGAGUAAACCACUCCAGGGCCCUUUCAAUCUACUAAAAGCACAUUCAACGGUCAUUCGGCACCUACUGAGCUGGUAGUUGAACUUUCCUUGAUGCUGUCAUGGUGAUUGGUGUAUGGCUUCAUGAGCCAAGAGAAUAAGGAGUAGGGUGGGUCCCCAGGAUCACUAUUGGCAUUUCAACAUUGCCAAUAGUAAUCGUCUGGUUGGGAAAGAAACUCCCUGCUUGUACCUUUCUGAACAGUGCUGUGUUCUUAAAGAUGCAAGCAGUGUGCACCUUCCCUGACCAGACAACACUAAUGUUGGUGAAGUGUCACCAGUGAUCCACCAACGCUUGCAUAACCAUAUGAAAAUAGCCUUUUCUGUUUGACAUACUCUGUGACAAGGUGGUCUUGUGCCAAAAUAGGGAUAAGCAUAUCGUCUGUCACUCCACUGCAGUUUGGGAACCCCAUUGCUGCAAAGCCAUCCAGUAUGUCUUGCACAAUGCCAAGAGUCACAGUCCUACUUGAUUAGUGGCCAGGCACGCUUGCAUGACAGCAAUCCCCACAUUGGAUUUUCCAAAUCCAAAGUGAUUUCCCACUGACCGGUAGCAAUCUGGCAUUGCAAAUUUCCACAGUGUGAUUGCCGCUUGCUUCACCGCUAUCUGUGCAGCUCUCAUUCUGGUGUCCUUGUGCUGGAGGGCUGGGGCGAGCUUGCCACAUGGAUCCAGCAAUGUAGCCUUGAUGGAUCCAAAAUUUAUGCAGCCACCACUGCUCAUGAUCCCAAACUUGCAUUAUGAUGGGAUCCCACCAGUCAGUGCUUGUUUCUUGGGCCCAGAAGUGGUGCUCUUCUGUUUGCAGCUGCUCCCUGAAUGCCACUAACAACCUUGAAUUGGUUCUCCCUCUGUUCCACAGCAGUCUGAUCUCCAGGAAAUCAUCAUAUUCCCUGCAGCAAUUCUUGUGGCUCUACAGAUACUGGCGGAUCGGGCAUCCGGUGUUUGCAACACUCGUGACAAUAGUGCAGAGCUGUGCAGGCUCCAUACUUUUGUCAGAGAUGGCAGACAGUGACAAGUCCCACGCAGGAGCUCGAAUCCCAAGAAGUGGCCUGUCAAGGAAACUGAGGCAGAAUUUGCUGUAUGAUGUAAUGGGACUGUAACCUUCAAGUUAAACUAAAGUGGGGAAACCAAGGCAGGGAGUGGUGGAAUGACUUGCAAAAGGUCACACAAUGAAUGUAACUAAGCUCCACUGGACACAGGCUACCUAGAUAGUGAAGCACAUGCAGUUGCUGUAUGGUUGACAUGGCUGCAUACUUCGAAGGGAGAAGCACCUGCAUUUUAGAAGGAUUGCUUUUAAAGAUAAAUUAUGCUUGUCUGCAUAUAAACUCUGUGAGGCCAGCACAUGACAGAUUCAUGUGCUUGUUUAGUGUGAAUUGUAAUCAGUAAGGACCAGAGCUUGUUCACACUGGAGUUAAGAAGAGUUUGGACAUUAACGUCAUUGAGAGCAGGAUUCAGUGAUGAUAAUACCUUGCUCUUAUGUAGCACUCUCCAUCAGGAGAUCUCAAAGCCCUUUACAAAAGAAGUAUCGUUAUGCUAAUUUUAUAUAUGGGGAAAAUGACUCGCCUAAGAUCACCCAACAGGCCAAGUUGGGGACAGAAGCCAGGACUCCUAGGCCAGUAUGCUAGCUACUAGGCCAC
Long non-coding RNA from Mauremys mutica (yellowpond turtle), 2225 nucleotides. RefSeq lists it as uncharacterized. The transcript is spliced from 4 exons. The record is from RefSeq and is a predicted model, not a curated record. NCBI's taxonomy places the organism in Eukaryota, Metazoa, Chordata, Testudines, Geoemydidae.